Cercocebus atys (sooty mangabey) is the source of this 107-nucleotide small nuclear RNA. The record is from Ensembl. NCBI's taxonomy places the organism in Eukaryota, Metazoa, Chordata, Mammalia, Primates, Cercopithecidae.
GCGCUCGCUUCGGCAGCACACAUACUAAAAUUGGAAUGAUACAGAGAAGAUUAGCAUGGCCCCUGCUCAAGGAUGACAUGCAAAUUCAUAAAGCAUUCCAUAAAAAU